RNAcentral lists this ribosomal RNA (491 nucleotides) under uncultured bacterium. RNAcentral describes it as "bacterial SSU rRNA". It matches the Rfam family "Bacterial small subunit ribosomal RNA", at positions 17 to 518 of the family's 1533-position model. The record is from RNAcentral.
UCUGGCGUCAGGAUGAACGCUGGCGGCGUGCCUAACACAUGCAAGUCGAACGGAGUUACGAGAGCUUGCUUUGUAACUUAGUGGCGGACGGGUGAGUAAUGUAUGAGCAACCUGCCUUCAGAGGGGGACAACAGUUGGAAACGACUGCUAAUACCGCAUAAUGUAUUUUGAGGGCAUCCUCGGGAUACCAAAGGAGCAAUCCGCUGAAAAGAUGGGCUCAUAUCUGAUUAGCUGGUUGGUGGGGUAACGGCCUACCAAGGCUGCGAUCAGUAGCCGGACUGAGAGGUUGAACGGCCACAUUGGGACUGAGAUACGGCCCAGACUCCUACGGGAGGCAGCAGUGGGGAAUAUUGGGCAAUGGGCGAAAGCCUCGACCCAGCAACGCCGCGUGAAGGAAGAAGGUCUUCGGAUUGUAAACUUCUUUUAUGAGGGACGAAGGACGUGACGGUACCUCAUGAAUAAGCCACGGCUAACUACGUGCCAGCCGCUGC